RNAcentral lists this ribosomal RNA (620 nucleotides) under Salmonella enterica subsp. enterica serovar Virchow. RNAcentral's name for it is "partial 23S ribosomal RNA". It matches the Rfam family "Bacterial large subunit ribosomal RNA", at positions 570 to 1191 of the family's 2925-position model. The record is from RNAcentral. Lineage: Bacteria; Pseudomonadati; Pseudomonadota; Gammaproteobacteria; Enterobacterales; Enterobacteriaceae.
GCAGUGGGAGCACCCUUCGGGGUGUGACUGCGUACCUUUUGUAUAAUGGGUCAGCGACUUAUAUUCUGUAGCAAGGUUAACCGAAUAGGGGAGCCGGAGGGAAACCGAGUCUUAAUUGGGCGUUAAGUUGCAGGGUAUAGACCCGAAACCCGGUGAUCUAGCCAUGGGCAGGUUGAAGGUUGGGUAACACUAACUGGAGGACCGAACCGACUAAUGUUGAAAAAUUAGCGGAUGACCUGUGGCUGGGGGUGAAAGGCCAAUCAAACCGGGAGAUAGCUGGUUCUCCCCGAAAGCUAUUUAGGUAGCGCCUCGUGAAUUCAUCUCCGGGGGUAGAGCACUGUUUCGGCUAGGGGGCCAUCCCGGCUUACCAACCCGAUGCAAACUGCGAAUACCGGAGAAUGUUAUCACGGGAGACACACGGCGGGUGCUAACGUCCGUCGUGAAGAGGGAAACAACCCAGACCGCCAGCUAAGGUCCCAAAGUCAUGGUUAAGUGGGAAACGAUGUGGGAAGGCCCAGACAGCCAGGAUGUUGGCUUAGAAGCAGCCAUCAUUUAAAGAAAGCGUAAUAGCUCACUGGUCGAGUCGGCCUGCGCGGAAGAUGUAACGGGGCUAAACCAUG